Non-coding RNA from Pelodiscus sinensis (Chinese soft-shelled turtle), 2048 nucleotides. The record is from RefSeq and is a predicted model, not a curated record. NCBI's taxonomy places the organism in Eukaryota, Metazoa, Chordata, Testudines, Trionychidae.
CCUAAUAAAGAUUUUUUUUUCUGAUUUAGAUGUGUCUAUAAUUAUCCAAAGCCUUGUGACUGCUAGACUAGAUUAUUGCUAGAAUCUGCUCAUGAACAGAAAUCACAAGAACCUGCAGGGUAGUCACAAUGAGAACUUUAAAUCAGUUCUUAGACAACUGCAUUGAAGAAAUGCAGGUUGUAUCUACCUCGAUAAAGGUAGAGAUUGGAGUUUAAGCACGUGGAUGAAGAUAUUUUGGAAGGUUUAAGAGCAGCAGGACUUGGUGAAAGCCUGGGGAUGUGAAGAAAGAAGCCCUCUGACUGGAACUGUCAGCAACAUGAACAUUACACGUAUUUCAGAAGAAAACAAGAAUAACAAAAGCAUUACUGAAUUUGACACGGACGUUUCCAUGGAAAAAAAAAUCAUCCAUCAAAAAGGGGAAUCAGAGGUGAAGCCACAAAUGUUACAUUGUUUUCUGUUCUGCCCUGUCAGCUAUCUACCCUGUUGACCCAACUGCAGCUUUUUGCCCUCUGACAUUUAGCAAAUGGUUACAAAGCUAACACAAUCUCUGGAAGGAUUCCAAUUACCCAUCUUCAAGAGAUUCUCAGUACUAGUGCUAAGUAAUGAGAAAUGAGAUAUACUCAGGAAAUAUGACUCCCCCAAAGUAGAAAAUAAAAUGAUUUAUAGACAACUUGAUUAUUGCUGCUUUAAAAACCUCAUAAAUUCAUGAACAUAAAUCUGAACAUUUGUUGUUGAGAGUCACAUACUGAACCUUCAUAUAGAUGUAUAUUUUAUUUCUCACUUAUUUUAAGGUUUAACCCUGUUCUCCUGUAGGAGGGCUUGUAUUUUUGUGUAACCCUUAUAAUACCCGUGAUAGAAUAAGAUACAUGUAUUGUUCAUGGUAAAUGUCCUGACCUAAAGGGUGUACUGGCCCCCUUGUGUCUGUCAGGACUGUAAAAUCACUGACACAGUUGCAUACUUCAAAUAUGGAACCUAUUUUGCCCUUCAGUUAUUUCAGUGCAACCUCGGAAAUGACUCUUGUUAUCUUCUUACUUCAAACAUACUUCUUGUAUUCUAUAUCUGACACAAAGUGAAAACCCCUCUGGAGUUAUGAAUGCCAGUAUAAACUAAGAAGGUUACCAUAUCAUAUAUUGCUUUGAACUGGAUGUCAACAUUCUUUUCAGGCAUUUUUCUUAAAUUUCGCAGUUUGGUGUGUCUAUCCAGCAGCAAAAAAAUGCAGCAUUUCUUGAGUUGCCCAAAAAUAGGUUCCUUAGUUUCCUGUUUCUAUGUUGUAUCAAAGGCUCUGGUAAACUAAUUUUUAUUGGGAUGGCCAGUAGCAAUAUGGGGUAGAGAUGGAAAAAUUUAACCAGUUAACCUAGUAAACGUUAGCCCUAGUUGCAUGCUUACCCAGUAUCUAAUUACCCCCAGAGGGCCAGGUCCUGUGGGAACAGACCCUCAACUGCAGCGGCCCAGCUGACAGGACCCUAGCUGGAGUGGGCCUGGCCAGCCAGAGCAGCUUCCUGCCCAUGGAACAAUGGGCCCACCAAGUGUAAUUGCCCAGGAUGAGUUGGAGCAGCCCCAACCAUGGAGGGCCGGGCUGGAGGAGUGGAAUGGCCAGCAGGACCCAAAACAUGGGGCCGUGGCCUGGAGCAGCCCCCACUGCAGGAUUCCAGCCCUCUAUAGUUAACUGGUUAAAUAAUUCAAUUUAUAUUGUUUUACCAGUUUACUUUUUAAUGAGUCUUUACAUCCCUAAUAUAUGGUGCAGAAUUAUUAUUGAUUCCAAAUCUGCUCUUUAUGUAUACCCCAAAAUUGGUGCUGCAUGUGAUCAGCACUGAGAGAAAUAUUUUUCACACAAUCCCAAAUCUUUUCAUCCAGUACAUAGCCCAAAUGCUGUAUCGCCAUUCAGGGUGAGGUGGAAAGGAAUUCUUUUCCUUGGCUCUGUACUCCUGAGACACUAAUACUCCCCAUGAGACUCUUCAUAACAACUAGAACUGGUCAGAUUUUUCCAAAUAAAAAUAUUUUUCAAUGAAAAAGAUCUUUUUUCAAGACUGGAAAGGGGAAGGAAGGAA